GGUGAGAUGGCCGAGUGGUUAUGGCGCUGCGUUCAGGUAAACCCUGUUCACAAAUUUCGCAGUGGAGCAAUCCGCGUGGGUUCGAGUCCCACUCUCAUCA
This is a non-coding RNA of Ustulina deusta, 100 nucleotides long. The record is from the annotation of a GenBank genome assembly. NCBI's taxonomy places the organism in Eukaryota, Fungi, Ascomycota, Sordariomycetes, Xylariales, Xylariaceae.